RNAcentral lists this ribosomal RNA (497 nucleotides) under uncultured bacterium. Its description in RNAcentral is "partial 16S ribosomal RNA". It matches the Rfam family "Bacterial small subunit ribosomal RNA", at positions 28 to 507 of the family's 1533-position model. The record is from RNAcentral.
GAUGAACGCUGGCGGCGUGCCUAAUACAUGCAAGUCGAGCGAACAGAUGAGGAGCUUGCUCCUCUGACGUUAGCGGCGGACGGGUGAGUAACACGUGGAUAACCUACCUAUAAGACUGGGAUAACUUCGGGAAACCGGAGCUAAUACCGGAUAAUAUAUUGAACCGCAUGGUUCAAUAGUGAAAGACGGUUUUGCUGUCACUUAUAGAUGGAUCCGCGCCGCAUUAGCUAGUUGGUAAGGUAACGGCUUACCAAGGCAACGAUGCGUAGCCGACCUGAGAGGGUGAUCGGCCACACUGGAACUGAGACACGGUCCAGACUCCUAAGGGAGGCAGCAGUAGGGAAUCUUCCGCAAUGGGCGAAAGCCUGACGGAGCAACGCCGCGUGAGUGACGAAGGUCUUCGGAUCGUAAAACUCUGUUAUUAGGGAAGAACAAAUGUGUAAGUAACUAUGCACGUCUUGACGGUACCUAAUCAGAAAGCCACGGCUAACUACGUG